GGAAUAUUGGACAAUGGGGGCAACCCUGAUCCAGCAAUGCCGCGUGAGUGAUGAAGGCCUUAGGGUUGUAAAGCUCUUUUACCAGGGAUGAUAAUGACAGUACCUGGAGAAUAAGCUCCGGCUAACUCCGUGCCAGCAGCCGCGGUAAUACGGAGGGAGCUAGCGUUGUUCGGAAUUACUGGGCGUAAAGCGCACGUAGGCGGCUUUCUAAGUCAGGGGUGAAAUCCCGGGGCUCAACCCCGGAACUGCCUUUGAAACUGGAAAGCUAGAAUCCUGGAGAGGCGAGUGGAAUUCCGAGUGUAGAGGUGAAAUUCGUAGAUAUUCGGAAGAACACCAGUGGCGAAGGCGACUCGCUGGACAGGUAUUGACGCUGAGGUGCGAAAGCGUGGGGGGCAA
This 396-nucleotide ribosomal RNA is filed under the name uncultured bacterium. Its description in RNAcentral is "bacterial SSU rRNA". It matches the Rfam family "Bacterial small subunit ribosomal RNA", at positions 358 to 771 of the family's 1533-position model. The record is from RNAcentral.